This 384-nucleotide ribosomal RNA is filed under the name Triticum aestivum (bread wheat). RNAcentral describes it as "partial small subunit ribosomal RNA". The record is from RNAcentral. Lineage: Eukaryota; Viridiplantae; Streptophyta; Magnoliopsida; Poales; Poaceae.
AUGAAUACAAGCGCUACAACAUGCAUACAGAUUUUCAAAAUCGGACUAUAUCUGAGUUAUUUGCUUGCAUCAAAUCCCCUAAAAUGCUUGAAUAAUGCGGAACUGGUCAGAAUUCAGCACCCAUAUAUAUACUCAGGUAUGUAUGAAAAUUUUCUAGAACUGACAGACUGCAUAGCAGCAUGUUAUGCUCCCAAGUUGUUCAACAGAACACAACUAACUAAUCAGUACACAAGAGCAAUCAAGAAAAACCCGGUGCAAGGUAAGUACAGGAUAAACGUGCAAUGGGGCCAUGGGGAGCUACCCAAAAAACUUAGCAAGAUAUGGUCAUCGUGGAGAAGUCAUCAAAAUCGGCUAAAGAUCAUGUCUUAUUGUAUAAGUAGCUAA